This 376-nucleotide ribosomal RNA is filed under the name uncultured bacterium. Its description in RNAcentral is "bacterial SSU rRNA". It matches the Rfam family "Bacterial small subunit ribosomal RNA", at positions 524 to 898 of the family's 1533-position model. The record is from RNAcentral.
AACGUAGGAGGCGAGCGUUAUCCGGAUUUACUGGGUGUAAAGCGCGUGCAGGCGGACGGGUAAGUUGGGUGUGAAAGCUCCCGGCUCAACUGGGAGAGGUCGCUCAAGACUGCCGGUCUGGAGCGUGGCAGGGGAAGGCGGAAUUCCGGGUGUAGUGGUGAAAUGCGUAGAUAUCCGGAGGAACACCAGUGGCGAAAGCGGCCUUCUAGACCACGACUGACGCUCAGACGCGAAAGCUAGGGGAGCAAACGGGAUUAGAGACCCCGGUAGUCCUAGCCGUAAACGAUGUGAACUUGGCGCCGGUGGGGUAAAACCGGUCGGUGCCGCAGCUAACGCGAUAAGUUCACCACCUGGGGACUACGGCCGCAAGGUUAAA